GACAGGUAGCUCAGCCAGUAGAGCACGAGACUCUUAAUCUCCAGGGUCGUGGGUUUGAUUCCUGCAUUGUAGGGGGCU
Podarcis lilfordi (Lilford's wall lizard) is the source of this 78-nucleotide non-coding RNA. The record is from the annotation of a GenBank genome assembly. Lineage: Eukaryota; Metazoa; Chordata; Lepidosauria; Squamata; Lacertidae.